Molecule: ribosomal RNA, 394 nt
Filed under: uncultured bacterium
Lineage: Bacteria
Description: bacterial SSU rRNA
Rfam family: Bacterial small subunit ribosomal RNA
Source: RNAcentral
GACGAAACGCUGGCGGGCGUGCUUAACACAUGCAAGUCGAGCGGUAAGGCCCUUUCGGGGGUACGACGAGCGGCGAACGGGUGAGUAACACGUGGGUGACCUGCCCUCAGCUCUGGGAUAAGCCUGGGGAAACUGGGGUCUAAUACUGGAUAUGACUCCACGGGUGCAUGUCGUGGGGGUGGAAAGCCUUGUGCGGCUGAGGAUGGGCCCGCGGCCUAUCAGCUUGUUGGUGGGGUGAUGGCCUACCAAGGCGACGACGGGUAGCCGGCCUGAGAGGGCGACCGGCCACACUGGGACUGAGACACGGCCCGAGACUCCUACGGGAGGGCAGCAGUGGGGAAUCUUGCGCAAUGGGCGAAAGCCUGACGCAGCGACGCCGCGUGAGGGAUGACGG